RNAcentral lists this ribosomal RNA (778 nucleotides) under uncultured Neocallimastigales. RNAcentral's name for it is "partial large subunit ribosomal RNA". It matches the Rfam family "Eukaryotic large subunit ribosomal RNA", at positions 22 to 644 of the family's 3401-position model. The record is from RNAcentral. Lineage: Eukaryota; Fungi; Neocallimastigomycota; Neocallimastigomycetes; Neocallimastigales.
CGUCUAUAUACGUAUUAGCAUAUCAAUAAGCGGAGGAAAAGAAACUAACAAGGAUCCCCCUAGUAACGGCGAGUGAAGCGGGAAGAGCUCAAAUUUGAAAUCUUAAAGGGUUUCCCUUUACGAAUUGUAGUUUAAAGAAGUGUUUUCUGUUGAGUUUCGGUAAAAGUUCUUUGGAAUAGGACAUCAUAGAGGGUGAGAAUCCCAUAUUUGGUUAUUCAUUCUAGCUUUGUGAUACACUUUCAAAGAGUCGGAUUGUUUGGGAAUGCAGUCCAAAAUGGGUGGUAAAUUUCAUCUAAAGCUAAAUAUUGGCGAGAGACCGAUAGCGAACAAGUACCGUGAGGGAAAGAUGAAAAGAACUUUGAAAAGAGAGUUAAACAGUACGUGAAAUUGUCAAAAGGGAAGCGUUUGACACCAGUGUUGUUUUUCCGAAAAUCAAUUACGAAUGGCUUGAUUUUGUGUUGUAUUGGACCUUAUCAGCUUUCUGCACUUUUUUCGAGUCUUUCUUAAUGCACUUUUCGGUUAACAAGUCAACAUCAAUUUCCUUUGUUGUAAAAGAGUAAGUCGGAAGGUGGCUUUCAAUUUCGGUGAAAGUGUUUAUAGCCUAUACUUCUAGCAGUCGGAGAGAUUGAGGUCUGCAGCGUAGAUCCUUCGGGGUUAGAUACAUUUAUGCUAAGUUAUAGCUUUUCAUAGACAACUUGUUGACUAUGUUUAGUCAUGCGGCUUACUCGCUUAGUGCUAUUUUACCUACGCUUAGGAUGUUGACUGAUAUGUAGUCGUA